GGCCUAAUGGGUAAGUGGUCUGACUUUGAAUCAGAAGACUAAGGGUUUGAAUCCCUU
This 57-nucleotide transfer RNA is filed under the name Loxodonta africana (African savanna elephant). It matches the Rfam family "tRNA", at positions 9 to 63 of the family's 71-position model. Rfam says of the family: Transfer RNA (tRNA) molecules are approximately 80 nucleotides in length. Their secondary structure includes four short double-helical elements and three loops (D, anti-codon, and T loops). Lineage: Eukaryota; Metazoa; Chordata; Mammalia; Proboscidea; Elephantidae. The record is from Rfam by way of RNAcentral.